This is a long non-coding RNA of Hermetia illucens (black soldier fly), 670 nucleotides long. RefSeq lists it as uncharacterized. NCBI's taxonomy places the organism in Eukaryota, Metazoa, Arthropoda, Insecta, Diptera, Stratiomyidae. The record is from RefSeq and is a predicted model, not a curated record. The transcript has 4 exons.
CGAAAUUUUUAGAAUGAUGUUGGAAGCCCCCUGCUUAGCGAUCGUUAUGAGCAUCAGUCCCCUCGAUAUAUAUAUGGACUACUCUCCUCAGGUUACACAGAUAAAUCGGGAAUACCAUUUUAUGAAUAUCCCAGACUAUCGACUCUGAAUAAAUGGAUCAACAUGCAAUUGAACAAGUCCCAUGAAGUACCAAUGAGCAGUGGAAGCGUAUUGAAGCUGGGAGGCAUUCACCUGAUGGGAAUAUACAUUCUUGACCAGAUUGCAUAAAGUAUUAUCAAGAUUAAGCUACCAAAUCCCGGGACGCUUCGUAACGAAUCGGGUCAAAUGGCGUUGUUCUUUAAUUUACUCAGGACCUUCAUAAAGCUGUAUCGAAUAAUAUCCAAUACGUACUUAUAUUCCGUUAUGAGGAGAGGUAGAAUUUGGGAAUACUGCAGUUGACAGAGGUAAAGGAAGCUAAAGGAUAUAUCUUGACAAAAGGGCUUAUUAUGAUUAUACAAAGCGUUGAGUAUCGACUGAGAAUCAAUUAAAAUGGUGGUGAAAGAAUUUUUGCUUUGAAAGGAGUUGUUCCUUUUCGGACUUGAUGUUUCAUAUAUUCCUUUUUACGACUUUUAUUCUAGAUUUUACAUAUAUAUUUUCAAUAAAAAAAUUAACUUACUUUUAAAUAGAUUUA